This 48-nucleotide non-coding RNA is filed under the name Schistosoma mansoni. RNAcentral also lists the same sequence under 1 other name. The record is from RNAcentral. Lineage: Eukaryota; Metazoa; Platyhelminthes; Trematoda; Strigeidida; Schistosomatidae.
AUCCGGCUGACGAGUCCCAAACAGGACGAAACGCGCGUCAAACUGGAU